This 432-nucleotide ribosomal RNA is filed under the name Vibrio parahaemolyticus. Its description in RNAcentral is "partial 23S ribosomal RNA". It matches the Rfam family "Bacterial large subunit ribosomal RNA", at positions 1123 to 1556 of the family's 2925-position model. The record is from RNAcentral. Lineage: Bacteria; Pseudomonadati; Pseudomonadota; Gammaproteobacteria; Vibrionales; Vibrionaceae.
UUAAAGAAAGCGUAAUAGCUCACUGGUCGAGUCGGCCUGCGCGGAAGAUGUAACGGGGCUAAGUAGUAAACCGAAGCUGCGGCAAUGUGCUUUUGCACAUUGGGUAGGGGAGCGUUCUGUAAGCGGUUGAAGGUGUGUGGUAACGCAUGCUGGACGUAUCAGAAGUGCGAAUGCUGACAUGAGUAACGAUAAAGGGGGUGAAAAACCUCCUCGCCGGAAGACCAAGGGUUCCUGUCCAACGUUAAUCGGGGCAGGGUAAGUCGACCCCUAAGGCGAGGCCGAAAGGCGUAGUCGAUGGGAAACGGGUUAAUAUUCCCGUACUUCUUACAAUUGCGAUGGGGGGGACGGAGAAGGCUAGGUGGGCCUGGCGACGGUUGUCCAGGUUCAAGUGCGUAGGCUUAAGAGUUAGGUAAAUCCGGCUCUUUUUAAGGC